GAUGAACGCUGGCGGCGUGCCUAAUACAUGCAAGUCGAGCGAACGGACGAGAAGCUUGCUUUUCUGAUGUUAGCGGCGGACGGGUGAGUAACACGUGGAUAACCUACCUAUAAGACUGGGAUAACUUCGGGAAACCGGAGCCAAUACCGGAUAAUAUUUUGAACCGCAUGGUUCAAAAGUGAAAGACGGUCUUGCUGUCACUUAUAGAUGGAUCCGCGCUGCAUUAGCUAGUUGGUAAGGUAACGGCUUACCAAGGCAACGAUGCAUAGCCGACCUGAGAGGGUGAUCGGCCACACUGGAACUGAGACACGGUCCAGACUCCUACGGGAGGCAGCAGUAGGGAAUCUUCCACAAUGGGCGAAAGCCUGACGGAGCAACGCCGCGUGAGUGAUGAAGGUCUUCGGAUCGUAAAACUCUGUUAUUAGGGAAGAACAUAUGUGUAAGUAACUGUGCACAUCUUGACGGUACCUAAUCAGAAAGCCACGGCUAACUACGUG
Molecule: ribosomal RNA, 497 nt
Filed under: uncultured bacterium
Lineage: Bacteria
Description: partial 16S ribosomal RNA
Rfam family: Bacterial small subunit ribosomal RNA
Source: RNAcentral